This 71-nucleotide transfer RNA is filed under the name Deltaproteobacteria bacterium. RNAcentral's name for it is "tRNA-Gln". It matches the Rfam family "tRNA". From Rfam's summary of the family: Transfer RNA (tRNA) molecules are approximately 80 nucleotides in length. Their secondary structure includes four short double-helical elements and three loops (D, anti-codon, and T loops). Lineage: Bacteria; Pseudomonadati; Myxococcota; Myxococcia. The record is from RNAcentral.
UCUGGGCUCGUCUAAUGGUAGGACUCGGGACUCUGACUCCCGCUAUCCAGGUUCGAAUCCUGGGCCCAGAU